CUCAAUGAUCUAUGCUGGCUCUGGAGGCCUCUUCAAAGCUGAAAUCCACCAUGUAAUGACCGUGGCAUGAACCACAACCGGAAAGAGCAGCAUCUGUGAAUGGUGGAAGACGUGCCUGUUUUCCGCUCUAGGCUCCCUGGAAAAAGGAGCAGAACUCCACUGAGAGACUCCAACGCAUCUAAGCAUUCUCAGCUUCAACCAAACCAGCCACGUCCACGUCCCAAGCCUGGAGUCAGUGCUGGAGGACUGCUUUAGAGGGAGUGUCAACCGAUGUGACUUUGAUGGAACUCUGAAAGAUUGAUGGCAAGCGACGAUAUGUUAACUCAAUAUUCAAGGGAAAGGGAAAGAUAACUUCAUCAACAAAUGCCCAUGUGAGCCUGCAGAUGUGCCCAAGGGAAGCAUUCCAUAAACAAAUGAUUUGCAUAAAAUCAUCUGUGCCUCUUCAAACUCGUGCAGAUAUUCAGUUUGGGCUCUAUUCAAAUUUUAAGCUCAAGUUCCUGCCAAUUUUAUGUUAUCAAACAGGCUUGCUCAUCUUAGUUAGAAGCCUCAUAAAAUUAUCAUCACUUAGAGAUUGCUCACCCUCCCAGGGAGCUACUGAAACUUUAUCCCAAAUCAAAGAUACAUAAAUUGGUUCCAUUUUGCAUUUGGAAUUCUGAGUAAGCAAGGCGAUUCCAGUCUUAUCAUAUCUCAGUAGUUGGCAGUAGAAGAAGCCACAACACUCAUCCAGUCACUGACCUGGCUCCUCAACAUGGCAGACAUUCCUGCAGAAUAAGAAACCCUCCACAGAACUCAGCUUCCUGGGAUCCAGGCAACAACAGAUGCUUUGCAUUUGAGUUACUCCCGUAUGCUGCCUCCUGAAUUAUCAUAUCUAUUCAUUUUCUGCCACACAUUAAAAUUCUGACUUGUACUGAAAACCAUGCUGAUCUGCACAAAACUGUCUAUUUUGUUGCCUUUCACUGAAGGGAUAAUGAUUCUAUACCUAACAGGCAAACUGUCUCAGAGCAUCUUACUUCUCUGCAUUUUUGCCACAGUCACUUCCACUCUUCUCAUUCCCAACGAGAGAGGAAUAAGAUCAUUAGUAGUUUAGUGUUCCACUGGGACCUGAGAAGUAAUAAUAAUAAUAAUAAUAAUAAUA
This 1135-nucleotide long non-coding RNA is filed under the name Equus caballus (horse). Its description in RNAcentral is "lncRNA (ENSECAG00000042752.2)". The record is from RNAcentral. Lineage: Eukaryota; Metazoa; Chordata; Mammalia; Perissodactyla; Equidae.